UGGGGAAUAUUGCACAAUGGGCGCAAGCCUGAUGCAGCCAUGCCGCGUGUGUGAAGAAGGCCUUCGGGUUGUAAAGCACUUUCAGCGGGGAGGAAGGCGAUAAGGUUAAUAACCUUGUCGAUUGACGUCACCCGCAGAAGAAGCACCGGCUAACUCCGUGCCAGCAGCCGCGGUAAUACGGAGGGUGCAAGCGUUAAUCGGAAUUACUGGGCGUAAAGCGCACGCAGGCGGUCUGUCAAGUCGGAUGUGAAAUCCCCGGGCUUAACCUGGGAACUGCAUUCGAAACUGGCAGGCUAGAGUCUUGUAGAGGGGGGUAGAGUCCCAGGUGUAGCGGUGAAAGGCGUAGAGAUCUGGAGGAAUACCGGUGGCGAAGGCGGCCCCCUGGACAAAAACUGACGCUCAGGUGCGAAAGCGUGGGGAGCAAACAGG
Molecule: ribosomal RNA, 429 nt
Filed under: Chloroflexota bacterium
Lineage: Bacteria; Bacillati; Chloroflexota
Description: Chloroflexi bacterium partial 16S ribosomal RNA
Rfam family: Bacterial small subunit ribosomal RNA
Source: RNAcentral